This 497-nucleotide ribosomal RNA is filed under the name uncultured bacterium. RNAcentral describes it as "partial 16S ribosomal RNA". It matches the Rfam family "Bacterial small subunit ribosomal RNA", at positions 28 to 507 of the family's 1533-position model. The record is from RNAcentral.
GAUGAACGCUGGCGGCGUGCCUAAUACAUGCAAGUCGAGCGAACGGACGAGAAGCUUGCUUCUCUGAUGUUAGCGGCGGACGGGUGAGUAACACGUGGAUAACCUACCUAUAAGACUGGGAUAACUUCGGGAAACCGGAGCUUAUACCGGAUAAUAUUUUGAACCGCAUGGUUCAAAAGUGAAAGACGGUCUUGCUGUCACUACUAGAUGGAUCCGCGCUGCAUUAGCUAGUUGGUAAGGUAACGGCUUACCAAGGCAACGAUGCAUAGCCGACCUGAGAGGGUGAUCGGCCACACUGGAACUGAGACACGGUCCAGACUCCUACGGGAGGCAGCAGUAGGGAAUCUUCCGCAAUGGGCGAAAGCCUGACGGAACAGCGCCGCGUGAGUGAUGAAGGUCUUCGGAGCGUAAAACUCUGUUAUUAGGGAAGAACAUAUGUGUAAGUAACUGUGCACAUCUUGACGGUACCUAAUCAGAAAGCCACGGCUAACUACGUG